RNAcentral lists this long non-coding RNA (157 nucleotides) under Mus spicilegus (steppe mouse). Its description in RNAcentral is "lncRNA (ENSMSIG00000006223.1)". Lineage: Eukaryota; Metazoa; Chordata; Mammalia; Rodentia; Muridae. The record is from RNAcentral.
CCUUGCUGUGGCUGUGGAGAGAGAAUGGUUCUCAGCUUCUGCCUGGAUGCUCUCUCAACUCUCUUAACCAAGCCACCUGUUCCUAUGACUUCAAUGAACAUCAUGAUAUAGAUAAGAAUCAUCAUGUUUGCCUUCAGCCCAGGCAUGGAUGGUCGGU